GGCCCCGCCCGGCCCGGCCCGGCUCGCGCGCGCCCGUGCGCGCUCCCGCCUGCGCGGCAGCCAAUGGCAGCGGCCGGCCGCGGGGGCCGCCGGGAAGGGGCGCUAUAAAAGCCCGGGUGCUAUUUACGCCGUGCAGGGCGGGCGGUGGUGGGUAGUGUGUGUGUUGGGUUAUGCUGCGCUGCUGCUUCUCUGAGGGGGGCCCGGAGCCUAAGCCUUCGCCUUCUUCCUCCGCUGUUGUUGGGCCGCUGGAGGAGUUCGGCUCUGAGGGUGGUUCUGCGAUAGCUGCUGCUGGGCCAGGCAGGGGCGCCGUGGCCUCUGUAGGAGGCUUGGGAGGGUAGGGGCGCUUUGCUUCCCUGGGGUCUCACCGUGUGAUGUGAAGUGAGUGAUGGAUCCGUGCCCCCUUUGUGUUCGGGGGGAGGCUGCUCUGCUCUGCUCUGCUCUCCGUCCUGCUGUGUCUGUCUGGGCUUCUUCAGCUGGGCGAGGUCCUGCUGAGGGGACCCGUGCCCCAGCUGGCAGCUAACUUUGACUGGCCUUUCUGUGGACCGCUGCCUGGUGUCUGUCGGUGAAGGAACUGCUUGAACCUCCUCCAGUAGAAACAUUUGAAAGAGCUCUAAUGAGCUCUACCGUGAGAAAGUGCACCCUGCAAAAGCCACAUCCCUGAAGGACCAGAGCAGGGCGCCUGGCAUGUGCUGGGACAUCAGGAAGGGAAAGGGCAUGCUGACCAUGCCCUGCUGCUGGCUGCGAGGCUCGCACAAAUUAAAUGGUACAACUCAUCGGCAGCCUUCCUGCGCCAGCCAGCAGCAGUGGUACAAAGCAUGGCUUAAUUAUAGCCCUGAAAGAAAAAGGAUUUCUGUAUGAGAUGUUGCUCCAUGGCUGCUGGUGGCAGAGCUCCGCACGAGCCGAGUCGUGCUGGUUUGGCAGGUACGGUGUCUCUAGAGUUGUCCCCAGAGGUGGAGAGCCAUCCCUUCACAGCCACCGAGUAAUCUGCCAUCUCCCCUCCGAACUCCUGGAUGUGAGCACCUCCCUGCAGCCCCUGCCCAGGAGCAGCUCUGACACGAGCAAGGCAGAGCCCACCCAAAUUUAACUCUGAGAUUUUUCAGGAAAGCUUGAGAGAGUCCCUGGGGAUUUUCAGUUUUCUGUUCUAUGCCACAAAUUCAGCUUUAGACUGACCCCUGAGGGGCAGCAAGGACCAGUGAAAUCUCAGAAUGAUGUCAUAAAACUUCCAAAGUCUUGAGAAACUGUUUUACCUGCAAAUGCCAAGGCAAAGCACUGUGCAACUUUGAGCCAAAAUAAAACUAUUUGGAAAUUCA
This 1310-nucleotide long non-coding RNA is filed under the name Anser cygnoides (Swan goose). Its description in RNAcentral is "lncRNA (ENSACDG00005016830.1)". The record is from RNAcentral. Lineage: Eukaryota; Metazoa; Chordata; Aves; Anseriformes; Anatidae.